GGAGGAGUAUCGAAGUGGUCAUAACGAGGCUGACUCGAAAUCAGUUGUACGGCAACGUACCGUGGGUUCGAAUCCCACCUCCUCCGCCA
This 89-nucleotide transfer RNA is filed under the name Desulfitobacterium sp. Its description in RNAcentral is "tRNA-Ser". It matches the Rfam family "tRNA". Rfam says of the family: Transfer RNA (tRNA) molecules are approximately 80 nucleotides in length. Their secondary structure includes four short double-helical elements and three loops (D, anti-codon, and T loops). Further hydrogen bonds mediate the characteristic L-shaped molecular structure. tRNAs have two regions of fundamental functional importance: the anti-codon, which is responsible for specific mRNA codon recognition, and the 3' end, to which the tRNAs corresponding amino acid is attached (by aminoacyl-tRNA synthetases). tRNAs cope with the degeneracy of the genetic code in two manners: having more than one tRNA (with a specific anti-codon) for a particular amino acid; and 'wobble' base-pairing, i.e. permitting non-standard base-pairing at the 3rd anti-codon position. The record is from RNAcentral. Lineage: Bacteria; Bacillati; Bacillota; Clostridia; Eubacteriales; Desulfitobacteriaceae.